RNAcentral lists this ribosomal RNA (253 nucleotides) under uncultured bacterium. Its description in RNAcentral is "partial 16S ribosomal RNA". It matches the Rfam family "Bacterial small subunit ribosomal RNA", at positions 524 to 776 of the family's 1533-position model. The record is from RNAcentral.
UACGAAGGGGGCUAGCGUUGUUCGGAAUUACUGGGCGUAAAGCGCACGUAGGCGGAUAUUUAAGUCAGGGGUGAAAUCCCGGGGCUCAACCCCGGAACUGCCUUUGAUACUGGUAGUCUCGAGUCCGGAAGAGGUGAGUGGAAUUCCGAGUGUAGAGGUGAAAUUCGUAGAUAUUCGGAGGAACACCAGUGGCGAAGGCGGCUCACUGGUCCGGUACUGACGCUGAGGUGCGAAAGCGUGGGGAGCAAACAGG